RNAcentral lists this ribosomal RNA (465 nucleotides) under Vreelandella stevensii. RNAcentral's name for it is "partial 16S ribosomal RNA". It matches the Rfam family "Bacterial small subunit ribosomal RNA", at positions 338 to 795 of the family's 1533-position model. The record is from RNAcentral. Lineage: Bacteria; Pseudomonadati; Pseudomonadota; Gammaproteobacteria; Oceanospirillales; Halomonadaceae.
CCUACGGGGGGCUGCAGUGGGGAAUAUUGGACAAUGGGGGCAACCCUGAUCCAGCCAUGCCGCGUGUGUGAAGAAGGCCCUCGGGUUGUAAAGCACUUUCAGUGAGGAAGAACGCCUGGUGGUUAAUACCCAUCAGGAAAGACAUCACUCACAGAAGAAGCACCGGCUAACUCCGUGCCAGCAGCCGCGGUAAUACGGAGGGUGCGAGCGUUAAUCGGAAUUACUGGGCGUAAAGCGCGCGUAGGUGGCUUGAUAAGCCGGUUGUGAAAGCCCCGGGCUCAAACUGGGAACGGCAUCCGGAACUGUCAAGCUAGAGUGCAGGAGAGGAAGGUAGAAUUCCCGGUGUAGCGGUGAAAUGCGUAGAGAUCGGGAGGAAUACCAGUGGCGAAGGCGGCCUUCUGGACUGACACUGACACUGAGGUGCGAAAGCGUGGGUAGCAAACAGGAUUAGAUACCCGAGUAGUC